GAUGAACGCUAGCGGCAGGCUUAAUACAUGCAAGUCGUGGGGCAGCAGGGGUAGCAAUACCCGCUGGUGACCGGCAAACGGGUGCGGAACACGUACACAAUCUACCUUUAUCUGGGGCAUAGCCCGAAGAAAUUCGGAUUAACACCCCAUAAAAUAAGCAGUCUGGCAUCAGAGAACUAUUAAAUACUGCGGAGGAUAGAGAUGAGUGUGCGUCCC
This 216-nucleotide ribosomal RNA is filed under the name uncultured bacterium. Its description in RNAcentral is "partial 16S ribosomal RNA". It matches the Rfam family "Bacterial small subunit ribosomal RNA", at positions 28 to 239 of the family's 1533-position model. The record is from RNAcentral.